GAUGAACGCUGGCGGCGUGCCUAAUACAUGCAAGUCGAGCGAACAGACGAGGAGCUUGCUACUCUGACGUUAGCGGCGGACGGGUGAGUAACACGUGGAUAACCUACCUAUAAGACUGGGAUAACUUCGGGAAACCGGAGCUAAUACCGGAUAAUAUAUUGAACCGCAUGGUUCAAUAGUGAAAGACGGUUUUGCUGUCACUUAUAGAUGGAUCCGCGCCGCAUUAGCUAGUUGGUAAGGUAACGGCUUACCAAGGCAACGAUGCGUAGCCGACCUGAGAGGGGGGGGGGCCACAGGGGAAGUGAGACAGGGCCGAGACACCGGGGGGGGGACACGGACGGGACUCUUACGGAAGGGGGGAAGGCGGAACGGAGCGCCGCGGGGUGAGGGAUGAAGUUUUCAGGACGGAAAAACUUUUUAAUUAGGAAAAAAAAAAUGUGAAAUAACCUGGGCCGUUCUGGACGGUACCUAAUAAAAAAGCCCCGGCUAACUACGUG
This 497-nucleotide ribosomal RNA is filed under the name uncultured bacterium. Its description in RNAcentral is "partial 16S ribosomal RNA". It matches the Rfam family "Bacterial small subunit ribosomal RNA", at positions 28 to 507 of the family's 1533-position model. The record is from RNAcentral.